This 573-nucleotide ribosomal RNA is filed under the name uncultured archaeon. Its description in RNAcentral is "bacterial SSU rRNA". It matches the Rfam family "Archaeal small subunit ribosomal RNA", at positions 88 to 663 of the family's 1478-position model. The record is from RNAcentral.
GCUCAGUAACACGUGGUCAACCUACCUCACGGAGGGGGAUAAUCUCGGGAAACUGAGGAUAAACCCCCAUAGAUAAUGGUGCCUGGAAUGGCCCAUUGUUGAAACAGUUUACUGCCAUGGGAUGGGACUGCGGCCUAUCAGCUUGUUGGUGAGGUAAUGGCCCACCAAGGCUAUAACAGGUACGGGCUCUGAGAGGAGAAGCCCGGAGAUGGGUACUGAGACACGGACCCAGGCCCUAUGGGGCGCAGCAGGCGAGAAACCUUAGCAAUGUGCGAAAGCACGACUGGGUCAGUCCGAGUGAUUCCUGCUAAAGGGAUCUUUUGUCCGUCCUAAAAGCACGGGCGAAUAAGGGGUGGGCAAGUCUGGUGUCAGCCGCCGCGGUAAUACCAGCACCUCGAGUGGUCAGGACGAUUAUUGGGCCUAAAGCAUCCGUAGCUGGUCUUGCAAGUCUCCGGUUAAAUCCACCUGCUCAACAGAUGGGCCGCUGGAGAUACUACAAGACUAGGGAGUGGGAGAGGCAGACGGUAUUCGGGGGGUAGGGGUAAAAUCCUCUGAUCCUUUGAGGACCACCAG